This 225-nucleotide long non-coding RNA is filed under the name Capsicum annuum. RNAcentral describes it as "long non-coding RNA (CANN_LNC009961)". Lineage: Eukaryota; Viridiplantae; Streptophyta; Magnoliopsida; Solanales; Solanaceae. The record is from RNAcentral.
AUCAUUCUUCUCAUUCAACCAUUGUAUUCAACAUGUUUCAACACAAAUAGCCCUCUCGUUUUCAAGUCAAAAUCAUAUCAAUUCUCAAAAUAUUUCAUGUCAUGUUUUUCAAGAUGUUUUCAAUCAAUUUACAUCAUAUGAACAUUUAAAACAAAUUCAUAUCAAGAGAGGGAUUCCAUAUAAUUCAUGCUCUCAAAUUAACACCUUUUUGAAACACAUGCAUAU